This is a non-coding RNA of Cherax quadricarinatus, 647 nucleotides long. The record is from RefSeq and is a predicted model, not a curated record. Lineage: Eukaryota; Metazoa; Arthropoda; Malacostraca; Decapoda; Parastacidae.
GUAAUCCGGUGCCCUACAGAUCCCGAUGAUGCCGGAUUAGUGAUGGUCGACCUAUACAGUGGACCCCCGCUUAACGAUCACCUCCAAAUGCAACCAAUUAUAUGAUGGAGCUGAAGAUCCUUGGGGUUCAAUCUGACAAGAGAGUCUCCAUGCCUCUUUAUCAUCUAAUACAAGUACAGAGUCCCACCAUCUUUCAAACAUCUCAUCUCUCUCCAUUUGAUAAGCAUUAGCUGCACCUUGGAGCAGUCGGAUCUGAAGUUGCAAUCAACCACUCAGAAGGAAUGGUGGGACUGCUGCAGUCAGAGGGUCACACUUCCGGCAAGACGACUCAGUGAAAGAUUUUUUUUUUUUACCCUACAUUGGUGGGAGAUGGCUGAUGACAAAAAAAGUACUUAUCAGAAUUAUAUUAUUAAUACUAGUAGUUUAUCCAUAUUAUAAUAGUAAACUUGGUUAACCUGAUAAGGCUGAAUGUUUCAUGAAAUUUUAGAGAUAGAGCUUACUGGUAACUAAAAAUGUAGAGCAGUACACAAAGCAGCUGUUAAUUCAUGUAAAUGAUAUGCAUAUUUAUGUAACGAGGUCUGCCAAAAGUCAUAUAUAAGCCAUUUGGGUUAACAAAACAUUUAUUUAACAUAUACCUGUGCCAGAAC